Molecule: transfer RNA, 84 nt
Filed under: Fusarium ficicrescens
Lineage: Eukaryota; Fungi; Ascomycota; Sordariomycetes; Hypocreales; Nectriaceae
Description: tRNA-Leu
Rfam family: tRNA
About the family: Transfer RNA (tRNA) molecules are approximately 80 nucleotides in length. Their secondary structure includes four short double-helical elements and three loops (D, anti-codon, and T loops).
Source: RNAcentral
AUUUGAAUGCUGGAAGUAGGUAAACAGGGUAAAUUAAGGAUUUAUUGGUUAAUAGCCUUGAAGGUUCGAGUCCUUCUUCAAAUA